RNAcentral lists this ribosomal RNA (96 nucleotides) under uncultured bacterium. Its description in RNAcentral is "partial 16S ribosomal RNA". It matches the Rfam family "Bacterial small subunit ribosomal RNA", at positions 1388 to 1482 of the family's 1533-position model. The record is from RNAcentral.
CACCGCCCGUCACACCAUGGGAGUCGAUUGCUCCCAGAAGUGCCUGAGCCAACCGCAAGGAGGCAGGGCCCCAAGGAGUGAUCGGUAACUGGGGUG